This 497-nucleotide ribosomal RNA is filed under the name uncultured bacterium. Its description in RNAcentral is "partial 16S ribosomal RNA". It matches the Rfam family "Bacterial small subunit ribosomal RNA", at positions 28 to 507 of the family's 1533-position model. The record is from RNAcentral.
GACGAACGCUGGCGGCGUGCCUAAUACAUGCAAGUCGAACGCUGAAGGAAGGAGCUUGCUCUUUCUGGAUGAGUUGCGAACGGGUGAGUAACGCGUAGGUAACCUGCCUGGUAGCGGGGGAUAACUAUUGGAAACGAUAGCUAAUACCGCAUAAAAUUGAUUAUUGCAUGAUAGUCAAUUAAAAGGUGCAACUGCACCACUACCAGAUGGACCUGCGUUGUAUUAGCUAGUUGGUGGGGUAACGGCUCACCAAGGCGACGAUACAUAGCCGACCUGAGAGGGUGAUCGGCCACACUGGGACUGAGACACGGCCCAGACUCCUACGGGAGGCAGCAGUAGGGAAUCUUCGGCAAUGGACGGAAGUCUGACCGAGCAACGCCGCGUGAGUGAAGAAGGGUUUCGGAUCGUAAAGCUCUGUUGUAAGAGAAGAACGAGUGUGAGAGUGGAAAGUUCACACUGUGACGGUAUCUUACCAGAAAGGGACGGCUAACUACGUG